Paramuricea clavata is the source of this 1086-nucleotide non-coding RNA. Lineage: Eukaryota; Metazoa; Cnidaria; Anthozoa; Malacalcyonacea; Plexauridae. The record is from the annotation of a GenBank genome assembly.
CAAAACAGACCCAUUCCGUUUGGGUCAAACAAUCACAGUUGGCGCAUCCAACUCGCCCCUAUGUCCUGUUUUGGCAAUGAACAAGUACUUCUUGGUUAGAAAAACAACGGGUGGUCCACUCUUUGUUCAUGUUUCUGGAAAACCUCUUACCAAACAAACUUUAACGGCUGAGACUCGGAUUUUAUUAAACCAAGCAGGUUUUAAUGUGUCACACUAUGCUGGUCAUAGCUACCGAAACUGCUUUUUGAAAAGCCUUAUUACUACAAACAUAGCAUAAUGCCUGGAUAUAAUGGGUGGGAAAACGAGACCUAUAGGUUUAGCGCAGUGGCGUAGCCAGCUCGAUAAAUGUGGGGGGGGGGGGUAUAUUCAUAUAUUCGUAUUCACAGAACGUAAAGACAAUCAAAUUCAAAAGAAAUUAAUAAUGCAGAACACGAAUAUAUGAAUAUGUCCCCCCUCCCAAUUAUCGAACUGGCUACGCCACUGGCUUUAUAGGGCGAGUUUUUCCACGUUAUUCGAGUUCUCUCAAACUACUACAAGUGUUUCUAUAACUGUAUGGGUCACACAUAAUAAAUGUUUUAUAUUUAUUUCAUAAUAUAACUAAAAAAAGAUUUGUAGUAGACUCGAUAUAUUUACAAAUUCUCAUUACGUAUAAUAAUGCCGACCUUUGCUCCAUGCAUCAAUUUCACUGCAAGAAACCCUUUUUGCCUUUAUUAGCAAGCAAGUAUAAGCCUAAUUUCCCAACUUUUAUGCAAAGAAUCUAACGAAAGGUGUAUCCUUUGCUACAAAUUGACGUAUAUAAAGAAAAGAAAGGGAAAUUCUACCGCGAUAUUUGCCGAUAAAGCGGUAUUAAAUCACUACAGAGAAAAUAGAACAAAUUACAGAAAUACAAAACAAGCUGCGGAAGUGGGGAGGUUUUUGUAUUUUGACUGAAACAGUUACAAAAUGAGCUGAGUAGGUAAAAUUCUUUUUAAAGUUUCUUAAUUUGCAUUAAAAUUGUUUUGUUUACGAUUGUAAGUUUAGGCGGGAAAUUUCCCGUGUAGAAACACGCUUCUCGACCAAUCAACGCUCGCGUACUAUAAAUGUUCU